RNAcentral lists this ribosomal RNA (426 nucleotides) under uncultured bacterium. RNAcentral's name for it is "bacterial SSU rRNA". It matches the Rfam family "Bacterial small subunit ribosomal RNA", at positions 357 to 775 of the family's 1533-position model. The record is from RNAcentral.
GGGAAUUUUGGACAAUGGGCGCAAGCCUGAUCCAGCCAUGCCGCGUGCGGGAAGAAGGCCUUCGGGUUGUAAACCGCUUUUGUCAGGGAAGAAAUCUCCUGAGCUAAUACCUCGGGGGGAUGACGGUACCUGAAGAAUAAGCACCGGCUAACUACGUGCCAGCAGCCGCGGUAAUACGUAGGGUGCAAGCGUUAAUCGGAAUUACUGGGCGUAAAGCGUGCGCAGGCGGUUAUGCAAGACAGAUGUGAAAUCCCCGGGCUUAACCUGGGAACUGCAUUUGUGACUGCAUAGCUAGAGUACGGUAGAGGGGGAUGGAAUUCCGCGUGUAGCAGUGAAAUGCGUAGAUAUGCGGAGGAACACCGAUGGCGAAGGCAAUCCCCUGGACCUGUACUGACGCUCAUGCACGAAAGCGUGGGGAGCAAACAG